RNAcentral lists this non-coding RNA (32 nucleotides) under Rattus norvegicus (Norway rat). The record is from RNAcentral. Lineage: Eukaryota; Metazoa; Chordata; Mammalia; Rodentia; Muridae.
UACCUACACAAUGAACCUUAAAAAUGAGGUAU